This 3859-nucleotide long non-coding RNA is filed under the name Canis lupus familiaris (dog). RNAcentral describes it as "lncRNA (ENSCAFG00845028807.1)". Lineage: Eukaryota; Metazoa; Chordata; Mammalia; Carnivora; Canidae. The record is from RNAcentral.
UUUUUAUUUUAUUUUUUAUUUUUAAAAAAAGAGCUAAAAAUUUAUUUAAAAAUAACAGCAAAGCAAUGCCUGAGUACCUCAGUGGUUGAGCAUCUACCUUUGGCUCAGGGCGUGAUCCCAGGGUCCUGGAAUUGAGUCCAGCGUUGGGUUCCCCAGAAGAAGCCUGCUUUUCCCUCUGCCAUGUCUCUGCCUCUCUCUGUGUGUCUCUCAUGAAUAAAUAAAUAAAUAAAAUCUUUUUUUUUAAAAAAAAGCCCAAAACUCCCCAGCCCAACCCAGAUGUCAGAAUUAACACAAUGCAAUUAACAUUAGAAAUUAAUAAAAAAGGAAAAAAUAAAUUGGGGGACUAAGCAGACACCGAGCUCAGCUCAGAUCCUAGCACUUCCUCUACAAUUUUGAUACAGGUGUAUGGUAGCAAUGUAGGGAAUUACUUCUAAUACUCCAAAUCUCAAGAGAACAGAAUUGGUGGCUAUUACUAUAUUUUCUUAUUUUUUAUGGAAGUGUAAAGGAAGUUACUGGUGGAGAGAAAAUGGUAAAUUAGAGAUUAAAAAUACCAAGAAUGAUUAUAGAGGCAAAGGUUCUUAUAAUACACACCGACAUUAAGCAAAGUUAGAAAAUCAAAACUCAAGUUAUUUGUCACAUUGAAGCAGACAUAGACUCCAUAUAUGUUGAAAAAAUACUAGCAGGAGCACUUUAAAAAUACAAUACCAGAAGGAAAGUUAAGAUCUGGCAUUCUACCAAAGACAAUAUGCUUUUAUGUGGUCACUUCCACUUGGAUCCCCCAUUCUACUGCCCCCACUCAAUCAUUUCUUCAAGGUAUGUAAAAAUAAAUAGAAAAGAGCACAGCACAGGCUUUCAGGUACGAGUCAGAUAGAGGGAAAGGAAGUCAUGUAUAGAGUGUGAAAAGAACUGAGAAAUCUGUCAUACUGUAUCAAAACAAAAGAAAGUACUGAACAGAAGGCUAACAAGGUGAGUUAAAGAACCUGGCAAUUACACAAACAUAAUGUUGAAGUAGAAAACCAACAGAAUAUAAGAACCAUGUUAUUAAUGAGACAAAUAAACAUAAUAAAGAAACUUUGUAAAAAAGAUUUUAUUUAUUUAUUUUUUGAGAUACAGAGAGAGAACAAGCAGAAAGGAGCAGUAGAGAGAGAGGGAGAGAAACAGACUCCCCACUGAGCAGGAAGCCCCCAAAGGGGACUCAAUUCCAGGACCCAGAGAUCAGGACCUGAGCUAAAAGACACUUAACUAACGAAGGCUUCUUAACAAAACUAAGUUAUGUUUUAUUAUUCUUUAAAUAACUAAGGCUUCUUCAACCUUCAAAAAAAUUAAUAAAAUUGCAUCAUAUCAACACACUAAAGAACAACCAUAUGAUCACAUUAAGAUUCAGAAAUAACAGUGGACAGGGAUGCCUGAGUGACUCAAUCAGUUGACUUCAGCUUAAGUCAUGAUCUCAGGGUCAUGAAUCAAGCCCCACAUCAGCUUCUGCACUCAGAAGGGAAUCUGCUUUAGAUUCUCUUUCUCCUUCUCCCUCUGUCCCUCCCUCCACUCUCUCUCUCUCUCCUUCUUACUCAAAUAAAUAAAUAAAUAAAAUCUUUAGAAAUAACAAUGGACAAAAUACAGCACCCAUUCAUAAUAAAAAUAAAGAGAAAUAUGCAAAUAUUUUAAACAUAAUUUUUCAUUAGGCAAUUACAAACUAAAACAAUAAUCAGAUACUACCACACACCUAUUAGAAUGACCCAACACACACACACACACACACACACAAAAAAAAAAAAAAAAAAAAAACCUGAAAAGACAGUUUGACAGUUCCUUACUAAGUCUUAGUCUUAUCAUGACUGAGCAAUUAAUCCACUUGAGUUGAAAACUUAUGUUUAUGCAAAAAAUUGAAUGCAAAUAUUUAUGGCAUAUUUGCCAGAAACAGGUAUUUUUAAAUUCAUAAUUGCCAGAAAUAGAAGAAUGUGUAUUCAGUUGAGUUUGGAUGUAAAGUUCUAUCGAUAUCUGUGAAAUCCACCUGGUCCAGCGUAUAAUUUAAAGCUCUCGUUUCUUUGGAGAUGAUGUGUUUAGAAGACCUAUUGGGUAUAGAAAGAGCUAGAUUGAAGUCACCAAGUAUAAGUGUAUUGUUAUCUAAGUAAUUCUUCACUUUGGUUAUUAAUUGAUUUAUAUAUUUGGCAGCUCCCACAUUCGGGGCAUAUAUAUUGAGGAAGGUUAAGUCCUCUUGUUGGAUAGAUCCUUUAAGUAUGAUAUAGUGUCCCUCUUCAUCUCUCACUACAGUCUUCGGGUAAAUUUUAGUUUAUCUGAUAUAAAGAUGGCUACCCCUGCUUUCUUUUGAGGACCAUUUGAAUGGUUCUCCAACCUUUUAUUUUCAGGCUGUAGGUGUCAUUCUGUCUAAAAUGAGUCUCUUGUAGACAGCAAAUAGAUGGGUCCUGCUUUUUUAUCCAGUCUGACACCCUGCGCCUUUUGAUGGGGUCAUUAAGCCCGUUCACGUUCAGAGUUACUAUUGACAGCUAUGAGUUUAGUGUCAUCAUGAUAUCUAUUCAGUCCUUGUUUUUGUGGAUUGUUUUCUGAACUUCUUCAUUCCAGAAAAGACAAAAUCUAUAGAGACAGUAAAAAGAUCAGAGAUUUCCAGGGAUUUGCUCAGAGGGGCAAGUUACCAAUAGGUAAAGCACAAAGGAUAUUUUAGGACAGCAAAACUACUCUCUAUGAUAUGAUAAUGAUGGAUAUAUGAUUCUAUGCAUUUGCAUUUGUCGAAAUUCACAGAACGGUAGAACAUUUCCCCAAGUUGGAAAAACUGUGAUGUCAGGGCACACCCUUCCAGGUUGCCAAGUCUACCAAAGAUUUUUGGCCCCAACUGCAAGAGGUUAGGGUCCACAUAUCAAGUUUGAAGGCACAGUUUCCACAUAAGACCACUCUCAUGUCUGAUACCAACUACAUUCGGGGUUUCCAAAAUGACUUUCUCAAAAAUUGUUAGCAAGUUACACAUAUGUCACUGAGACCCAUUGUAUUUAUAAAUACACUUAUUAAAGAGAAAGGAUACAUUAAAAUCAGCCAAGGAAAGAGACACGUAGGGCAAAGACUCAGAAGUUCCAAAUAUGAAGCUUGCAUUGUUUUCAGAAUGUAUUUCUCUCUCGGUAUUGAUGUGUGACAAACAGCAUAGAGUAUUGCCACCCUGGGCAUCUCACCUGUACUUCAGUGUCCACAGGCUUCCUUACCUAAGCAUGAUUGGUUGAUUGUCUACAAUUGAGCCUAGAAUCUAGGUUGACCUGAUAUUGUGUUACCCAAAGCCCACAACAAAUCAUAUGAUUGGCCUUUCUGGCACUUCCCAUCCUAAGAAUGUUGAGUGUAGUAGCAGGCAGCACUGAGUAGUUAUCUUCUUAGUAUAAACUAUCAGCUGUGCUCAAAGGGGUUUGUCAUUGAUAACAAAGAUAUUCCUAUCACUCAGAAUAUUCCAAGGGUUUAGAGGUUACCUAUCAGAAGACUGGAAAAAGGCCAGACUCCUCUUAGAAUGAGGCCACAUUCUUUACUGACAAACACAAAGAGUGAAUUUUAAUGUACAAAAAUGUUUUAAAAUCAUCUUAGUGGUCAGGAGAAACUAGGAUGAGAUCCAAAACAUGACAAUGAUGUCACUGAAGAUUGUAGGGAAAAAGUUGCAGGUUUAAAAAACUUUGGAUGCCAGUGGAGUGUCUUCAACUAAAAGCUUAAGAUGCAAAAGGACCUGCACAUAAGCAGUAUGGUGCAAUCAUUGAUGUUUGCCCCAGGGGUGAUGCUUAACAAUUCUGAUACUGCUGUGAAUGUAUAUAAGAAUUGAAUAAGUCAGAAAAUGGUAGGGGACAGAUCUUACUCUGGGAGAGAGGAUUUACAUAUA